Molecule: long non-coding RNA, 217 nt
Filed under: Mytilus galloprovincialis (Mediterranean mussel)
Lineage: Eukaryota; Metazoa; Mollusca; Bivalvia; Mytilida; Mytilidae
Source: RNAcentral
AUGGUAGUUUCGAGGAAACAAUAAAAUUUGGUUAAAAAUUUAAAUAUAUGUAUUGGUUGGUAUUUUGAAUUUAAACAAAGAUCUAACUAGUGUCGGAUUCUGGGGGAGUACAUGUGCUUAAAUAAAAAAAAAAUCUGCAUAAAACGGUCCAAAUUUUUUUUCGCCUCGCUCCGCUCGGCGAAACAUCCACAUCAUUUCAACUCUGGCUACGCCACUG